This is a long non-coding RNA of Eptatretus burgeri (inshore hagfish), 3228 nucleotides long. NCBI's taxonomy places the organism in Eukaryota, Metazoa, Chordata, Myxini, Myxiniformes, Myxinidae. The record is from Ensembl.
ACGCAGUCCAUCACCACGACUCGCUGAGCCGCCUGUCGGUGAAGUUUCCCUUUCGGAUCCACGGCUUGGCCCAGGGUAGGGAAGUCCCGAAAACCCAAGCUGCGACGACUCACCGACGCUUCCUCGAAACCGACACGCAAUCAAACAGGAUCCAAGACAUUCCCGGUGAGGUCCCGGAAGCGUGUCCAGUUGUCCUGGGAAUGCGCCGUGUGGAUACUGGAGACCGUGUUAUUUAUUUUAUUACUCCUGGUUGUCGAGUCGACCCACCAGAGUCGAUUCAUGAAGUUCGUUUCGAAAUUCCACGCAAACGCUGAAGAGAGGUUGUUUGUAUUCAAGGCGAGUCACCUGACAGGACGUGUUUUGUGAACAAACAGCGACGCAUGGGAAGGACGGAUCUGGGAGCGCAACGUGCGGUCAGUCCGUUCUACCUUGGACAGUCAGGCUCGCUCACCGCGCGGCGGAUAGUGUGCGGAGCGAUACUGCGCUUCCUACCACUGCUGGAAACCACGAAUUCAAGGGGCCCACCUUUGGCUGAGCAGACAUGACAUGGACUGCUCGCAGUGUCGGUGGAUUUGCAUCCCUUCCAGGCCUACAUUUGUUCUUUCUCAAGGGCAGGCAUAAUGGAGCCACAAUCGGUGAAAGUGUCAUUCCUGCAUGUGAUUCUCUCAUCUCCGCAAUACUUGCUAAAUGGAGAGGAUUGUAAGAAUAAAGUGGGUAGAGAAGAGAAAGAGAGAGGAGGAGGAGGAGGAGUAGAAGAAUUGGAGCGAAGAGGACAAAGACAAGAUGAGUGUGGCGGAUUUGGGGGUUGGGGAUGUGUACAAGGUGAAAGAAGACUGAAUGAUUCGUAUGAAGUAUGUGGAGCAAGAAGAGAGCAAAGGCAUGAAACUUCUCCAUCAUGCCACAUCCUAAGCCUGCAUCAAGAAAUCUCAAUUAAUCUGCUUGAUCCCUCCUCGGCCGAUGGACUGCGUCUGAAAGAAUGUCCCGACACGGCACAGUGGAAGGGAGGAAAGAGCUCGGGUGAAUCUUAUUGGCAUUUGUCAAGCCCAGGGAGGACGUUGAAUGGAUCUGAUGAGAGAAAUGGGGAAGAUGACUCCACAGAUAAAGCCUGUUGGAUUCAACGAGGAUCAUGUGUGGAACACAGCCAGGCUUAUGGUAUAACAGAUCCUGUUGGGUUGAUGGAAACACCCAGAGCUUCAAAUCCUCAUUCAUUCCUGCGUCGAUAUCCUUUCAGCCGCUGCUAUGAUGUGGAGAUUUUAAACAAUUUUCACAGAGCACAUUCAACUGGGGAAGUGGAAACGAUGACGGGGAGUUUACAGUGUUCACGCAGUGAAGAAGCAGAACAGUUUGGCACCCCGUGUGCCUCAACUUACCAUGGGACGCACUAUUUUGGCUCACGCAGAAGGUCCUUAAACUGCAGACAACUUCCGUUUUGCAAAGGGGACACACCUACGUCUCCUGUUUUGCCAUCUAAUCCUCGAUGGAAAGUUCAGGUCAGCUGCGUGAGUCCUGUAUCUCCGGAACAGCACGUGAGCAGAAAACCCGGUGUGCAGGCCACGGUGGUGACCGCAAUGCCACGAGCCAACUCGGUUAACAUGGAGGUCAUACGGUUGCAGGCCAAACCUGGAAAACAAGGUGGUUCUGAAGGAGCGGAUGGUGAUGCAUCAACGAAGGAGGAGUUCUUCAUCUGCCUAGGACAGGUCACACCAGCUGGCUCCCAGAAUCCCAUAAAACCUACCAGUAGCUGUUUCUUCAGUCCAUCCUCACUUUCCCCAGCUUGCGACUUUGCAUGCCAGAAGUACCAGAUUUCUGUGGGUCCGUCACCUUAUAGACUUUGGCCAUUGUCAGCAGCUGUUAUUGAGCAGGUUGACCACGACCACCAUCAAUACACCACCACAACAACUACUAAAGGAUACAUCAGAGUUGGAGAUGGGACACCAGUGCUAACCGGUCGAGCUGCUUCGCCUCGAGCCUUGGAGAACAUACUGUACAGCACAGACGACGAGAAGACCGAGGCCAGGCCGAUGAGAAACGGUGAAGCCUCAUUGCCUGCCUGGCCUUUUCCGCAGCAGCCAAUGCUAUCAGAUGAAUGGAGGUCACUGGAGAUCCAGACCACGAUAGAAGAUAGCAAUGGAAGAAGGUCAGUGGCAUUAGGAUGUGAGGACAACUAUGUGACUAUUCAGACAAUGCCAGCACAAACAGAUCAGACAUGGAUUGGACAAAAAUUGGGAGCUUGCACUGUAGCAGAGACAGAGAGCAAACCUGGGCUGAGCACCGAGUGUUUCAAGGUAACUGCUGUGGAAGGAGAUUUGUCUGUGCCAAGUCCAAAAUCAUCCCAAAGCGAUGGGAAGCUCACAUCAAUUUGGGAAGUGCAAAGUUCAAGUGCUGCAACACAAGACUCCUUUGUGCCUGUCACAUCUUCUAGCCCCACCAUCAAGGACAUUCUCCCUUGGGAAAUUUCAGCCAUGACCUGUCUCAAAGAAAGCACAUCCCUUGCAGCUCAAUUUUCAACAGGUUCACAAUCUGAGCAGUGCUGUGGUGUGGCAGAUGAGACAAAAUAUGGAGAGAUGUUGGAGCCGGGAAAGAUUAGCAUUGAAAGUCCGAAUAAGGGAAUAGCGGCCGAAGGAGGUUUGGCAAGGCUGAUGGUACGUGAAAUCCAGCGCAGCCUUCAGCCCCCCUUGUUCUUGCAGCCAGAAGAGCUUCAAGAUUCAUUCUCCAAGCAGGCGGAGUCCAUCUUAGAGUCACACCGUAGUGCUGGAAUGGCUUGUUCUAGCCUUGAUUCCUUGGACAUUCUCAAUGCUGCAGCAGAUGAUGAACAAAUUGAUCAUGAUCAUAAUCGAGAUGAUCGCAAUAAUGAUGAUGACUAUGACGUGUGCACACAAUCCUCGGGCUCGAAUGACGAUGCUGUUGUCAUGACUGAUGGCGGAGCCUUGAGUUGCAUUGUUGGAGAUCCGGGAUUCAAACAAGGCUCGGAAGGACAAUCUGUCGUAUGGAGGUUGUCCUCUGCGUUUCAGGAGACACAAAAGGAAAGCACAUUCAAUUCGGAAGCUUUGACAAAGUCUACACAUUUAUUACAAGACCCUGCUUUGUCAAAGAACCAGUCAUUCGGUACUGUUAACCAAAUCACUGAACAUUCCUCUCCAAGGUUUCAUCAACCAUCAGAUGGGCAACAUGCUUGUGGGCCAGACAAGAUGGCGAUUGCGAAAGAUGAAGAAAGCAGCAUUGUGGGGG